ACGGAGGUCCUGGCUUCAGCCCUUCAUCACGAGAGGCACAUUUGAGACCUUCGUCUCUCCUGGCCUUAGAUGGAAGAGAACAGCCUUUCUCCCAGCUACUGCAGAGGUUUCCAGGAUCAAGCUGUGCCAGACAUGAUGGGUUGUGCCUGAAGAGGGAACUUGGAUUAGUCAGAUAAGGGGAUGCUCCCGAGAGAAGUGUGCAAAUAAAGCACGGGACCCCGAGGACCAGGAGAAAGAAAAUAAAGUCAACUGCAAGGUUUAA
This 262-nucleotide long non-coding RNA is filed under the name Rattus norvegicus (Norway rat). RNAcentral describes it as "long non-coding RNA NONRATT010007". Lineage: Eukaryota; Metazoa; Chordata; Mammalia; Rodentia; Muridae. The record is from RNAcentral.